This 774-nucleotide ribosomal RNA is filed under the name uncultured Neocallimastigales. RNAcentral's name for it is "partial large subunit ribosomal RNA". It matches the Rfam family "Eukaryotic large subunit ribosomal RNA", at positions 23 to 647 of the family's 3401-position model. Lineage: Eukaryota; Fungi; Neocallimastigomycota; Neocallimastigomycetes; Neocallimastigales. The record is from RNAcentral.
AGAGAGAGACAUGCGCGCAUAUCAAUAAGCGGAGGAAAAGAAACUAACAAGGAUUCCCCUAGUAACGGCGAGUGAAGCGGGAAGAGCUCAAAUUUGAAAUCUUAAAGGGUUUCCCUUUACGAAUUGUAGUUUAAAGAAGUGUUUUCUGUUGAGGUUUUGGUAAAAGUUCUUUGGAAUAGGACAUCAUAGAGGGUGAGAAUCCCGUAUUUGACCUUUACUUUCAACUUUGUGAUACACUUUCAAAGAGUCGGAUUGUUUGGGAAUGCAGUCCAAAAUGGGUGGUAAAUUUCAUCUAAAGCUAAAUAUUGGCGAGAGACCGAUAGCGAACAAGUACCGUGAGGGAAAGAUGAAAAGAACUUUGAAAAGAGAGUUAAACAGUACGUGAAAUUGUCAAAAGGGAAGCGUUUGACACCAGUGUUGUUUUUCUGAAAAUCAAUUAAAGAACUGUUUAUGCUAAGCUGUUUAGACUUUAUCAGCUAUCUGUUUAGUUUUGAGCUUUUCUUUAAUGCACUUUUCAGUUAACAAGUCAACAUCAAUUUCUUUUGCUGUAAAAAAGCUUGAGGAAGGUGGCUUGAGAUUCGUCUUAAGUGUUUAUAGCCUCUUGCCUAUGCAGUCGGAGAGAUUGAGGUCUGCAGCGUAGAUCCUUCGGGGCUAAACGCAUUUGUGCUAAGUUAUAGCAUUUUAUAGACAACUUGUUGACUAUGAUUUGUCUUGUAGCUUACUCGCUUAUGUUAUUUUACCUACGCUUAGGAUGUUGACGCAUGAGAUAUACGC